This 400-nucleotide ribosomal RNA is filed under the name uncultured bacterium. Its description in RNAcentral is "bacterial SSU rRNA". It matches the Rfam family "Bacterial small subunit ribosomal RNA", at positions 355 to 746 of the family's 1533-position model. The record is from RNAcentral.
UAGGGAAUCUUCGGCAAUGGACGAAAGUCUGACCGAGCAACGCCGCGUGAGUGAAGAAGGUUUUCGGAUCGUAAAACUCUGUUGUUAGAGAAGAACAAGGAUGAGAGUAAAAUGUUCAUCCCUUGACGGUAUCUAACCAGAAAGCCACGGCUAACUACGUGCCAGCAGCCGCGGUAAUACGUAGGUGGCAAGCGUUGUCCGGAUUUAUUGGGCGUAAAGCGAGCGCAGGCGGUUUCUUAAGUCUGAUGUGAAAGCCCCCGGCUCAACCGGGGAGGGUCAUUGGAAACUGGGAGACUUGAGUGCAGAAGAGGAGAGUGGAAUUCCAUGUGUAGCGGUGAAAUGCGUAGAUAUAUGGAGGAACACCAGUGGCGAAGGCGGCUCUCUGGUCUGUAACUGACGC